GUCUCUUCUCUGUGAUUUGCCAAAGAGAAAAUAUGGUAUCUGUUUUUACCAGUAAAAUAUCUGAUAUGUCCUCUAUCAAUGAAUAAUGUAUUAAAUGGAAUUUUUGGAAAUAGGAGGUGGAAUAGGAACUUGCUCUGUUUAUACCAUGAAUUGACCUAGUAUCGCAGUACCUUCAAGAACAUUGCAUCCUCC
Small nuclear RNA from Mastomys coucha (southern multimammate mouse), 192 nucleotides. RefSeq annotates it as U2 spliceosomal RNA. Lineage: Eukaryota; Metazoa; Chordata; Mammalia; Rodentia; Muridae. The transcript has a single exon. The record is from RefSeq and is a predicted model, not a curated record.